UCCAGCUUAUCGCUGGCGGUCUCCUGCGAGUUCCCAACUGAAUGAUGGCAACACAGGACGAGGGUUGCGCUCGUUGCGGGACUUAACCCAACACCUCACGACACGAGCUGACGACAGCCAUGCAGCACCUGUGCAAGCUGGUAUUGCUACCUCGUCAGGCUUUCACCCUUCUACUACUUGCAUGUCAAGGCCAGGUAAGGUUCUUCGCGUUGCAUCGAAUUGAGCCACAUACUCCACCGCUUGUGCAGGCCCCCGUCAAUUUCUUUGAGUUUUAAUCUUGCGACCGUACUCCCCAGGCGGUCUACUUCACGCGUUAGCUGCGUUACCAAGUCAAUUAAGACCCGACAACUAGUAGACAUCGUUUACAGCGUGGACUAC
This 378-nucleotide unclassified non-coding RNA is filed under the name uncultured bacterium. RNAcentral describes it as "contains 16S-23S intergenic spacer region". The record is from RNAcentral.